Zonotrichia albicollis (white-throated sparrow) is the source of this 402-nucleotide non-coding RNA. Lineage: Eukaryota; Metazoa; Chordata; Aves; Passeriformes; Passerellidae. The record is from RefSeq and is a predicted model, not a curated record.
GCCCUGCUGGGCUGUUUGGGAGGUUGGUGUGCCCAUCCUGUGCCCAUCCAUCCCAGCAGCUCUGGGUGUUUUUGGGAGGUUGGUGUGCCCAUCCAUCCCAGCCCUGCUGGGUGUUUCUGUGCAAGCCCUGUGUACUGGACAGCCAGAGUGGAGAGGAACAUCACACUCCGCUCACAUUUCUCAAGAACCUGUUCUAUCUAGCACCUAGUUUACAGACUGAUACCUGUAGCUGCCCUGUGCAAUUGUUCACCUCGAGUCCUCAGUAAAACAUGUCAGCAAUUAGAGGAAUUUGUAUCGGGGGCACUCCCCUUCAGUCUCAAUUUUUAACAUUUUUCUGCUUGUGAAAUGAUAAAGUACUGUGAGCCUUAAUUUUUAUCCACAAAUAAAAAUAUUAUGUUUGAA